Molecule: unclassified non-coding RNA, 381 nt
Filed under: uncultured fungus
Lineage: Eukaryota; Fungi
Description: partial contains 5.8S ribosomal RNA and internal transcribed spacer 2
Rfam family: 5.8S ribosomal RNA (bases 1-133)
Source: RNAcentral
UGGCUCUCGCAUCGAUGAAGAACGCAGCGAAAUGCGAUAAGUAAUGUGAAUUGCAGAAUUCAGUGAAUCAUCGAAUCUUUGAACGCAACUUGCGCUCCUUGGUAUUCCGAGGAGCAUGCCUGUUCGAGUGUCUUGAAGUCAUCAACCUCGACCGUUUUGCGACGGUCGCGGUUGGAGCUGGGGGACUUUGCCGGCCGUUUCGGUCGGCUCCCCUCAAAUGCGUCGGUUGGGCCUGUGGGUCAAACUCGUUUGGGCGUUGUACCAUCCUCGCUCUCGUGUCAGACCUGCUAACUCUGCGCCCCUCCUCGACCUGCCCACCCUUCCGGGCGGUCAAAAUCACAUUUGAAAUCUGACCUCGAAUCAGGUAGGACUACCCGCUGA